CGUGUGUGCUGUGAUUGCUGGGUGCUGUGUAUCAGCAUGUGCUGCGUGUGCAUCAUCCAUGUGUGCUGUGUCACAUGUGUGCUGCAUGUCACAGCGUGUGCUGCGUGUGCCAUGUGCUGCAUGUCACAGCGUGUGCUGCAUGUUACAGCGUGUGCCGUGUGCUGCGUGUCACGUAUGUGUUGCGUGUGCCAUGCAUCACCAGUGUGAGCUGCGUGUCGCAGCGUGUGCCACAUGCCAUGCAUUGCUGUGUGCCAUGUGCUGCGUGUGCCACGCGUGUGCUGCAUGCCGCGCUGCAUGCUGUGCUGUGUGCUGCAUGUCACCCACGUGUGCCACGUGCCAUGCAUCAUGCCGUGUGGUGUGUGCCAUGUGCUGUGUGCCAUGCAUCAUGCUGUGUUGUAUGUUGUGUGCCGCGUGCCAUGCACCCUGCCAUGUUCUGCGUGCCAUGUGCUUUGUGCCACGUUCUGUGUUCCGUGUGCCGCGUUGCAACGUGUGCUGCGUGUUGUGCAUCGUGUGCCGUGCACCGUGUGCUGCGUGCCACAACACCCGCGUGCCGUGUGUUGCGUGCUGUGUGCUGUGUGCUGCACGCCAUGCAUUGCGUGCCGCGUGCCGUGCACCGUGUGCGCCGUGCUGUGCCGCGUGCUGUGUGUCACACGCAGAUCCGUGCGCCGUUCCGUGUGCUGUUCUGUGUGCCGUGCGCCGUUCCAUGCGUGCUCUUCUGUGUGCUGCUCCAUGCACCAGUCCCUGUGCACCAGUCCAUGCACCAUUCCAUGCACUGUUCCAUGUGCACCAUUCCAUGUGCACCAUUCAGUGUGCACCAUUCCAUGCACCAUUCCCUGUGCACCAUUCCAUGUGCACCAUUUCAUGUGCACCGUUCCGUGUGCACCGUUCCACGUGCACCGUUCCAUGCCAUUCCGUGUGCACGGUUCCGUGCACGGUUCCGUGUUGCACCCCUUGACCUCUCUCCUCUCUCCCCUCCACAGCACUGGUGCAAAAAGGUGGGUGUGAGAGCACAUGUGUGUGAGAGCACGUGUGUGUAAGAGCACGUGUGUGUGAGAGCACGUGUGUGAGUGUACAUGUGUGAGUGCACAUGUGUUUGGGAGGGUGCGUGUGUGUGAGUGCAGGCAUGUGUGAGUGCAUGUGUGUGUGAAAGCACAUGUGUCUGAGUGCACGUGUGUGAGCAUGUGUGUGUGAGUGCAUGUGUGAGUGCACAUGUGUGUGAGUGUACGUGAGUGCAUGUGUGUGUGAGAACGUGUCUAAUUGCAUGUGUGUGAGAGUAUGUGCGUGAGAGCACAUAUGUGAUAGCACGUGUGUCUGAGUGCACGUGUGUGUAAAAGCAUGUGUGUGUGAGAGCACAUGUGAGAGCACAUGUGUGUGAAUGCAUGUGUGUGAGUGUGUGUGUGGGUGAGCACGUGUCUGCGCAUGUGUGAGUGCACAUGUGUGUGAGUGCACAUGUGUGAGUGCACAUGUGUGUGAGUGCACAUGUGUGAGUGCACGUGUGUGUGAGAGCACAUAUGUGGGUGCACACAUGUGAGUGUGUGAAUCCAUGUGUGUGAGAGCACAUGUGUGUGUGCAUGUGUGUCUGUGUGUGUGUGAGUGCAUGUCUGAAUGCAUGUGUGUGAGUGCACACACGUGUGCGAGUACCCAUCUGUGUGUGUGUGCUCACGUGUGCGUGUGAGUGCAUGCGUCUGUACAUGCAUGUGUGUGCGCACAUGUGUGUGAGUGCACACGUGUGUGUGAGUGCACGUGUGAGUGCGUACAUAUGUGUGUGUGUGUGUGUGUGUGUUCAUGUAUGUAAGUGCACAUGUAUGUGUGCACGUGUGUGAGUGUGCGUGUGCCCCCCAUGUCACACCUCACCCUGCACUACAAUAGGGGCAGCUGUGGGGCACACUGGGAUCUGUGGGGCACACCUGGGGUCUAUGGGGCACACUGGGAUCUGUGGGGAUCUGUGGGGCACACUGGGAUCUGUGGGGCUCAAUGGGAUCUGUGGGGCACACUGACAUCUAUGGGGCUCAGUGGAAUCUGUGGGGCACACUGGGA
This is a long non-coding RNA of Phasianus colchicus (ring-necked pheasant), 2037 nucleotides long. The record is from Ensembl. NCBI's taxonomy places the organism in Eukaryota, Metazoa, Chordata, Aves, Galliformes, Phasianidae.